This 240-nucleotide unclassified non-coding RNA is filed under the name soil metagenome. RNAcentral's name for it is "partial contains 5.8S ribosomal RNA, internal transcribed spacer 2, and large subunit ribosomal RNA". The record is from RNAcentral.
AACCAUUCUCACCUGCGGCUAGACCUGCGGAGGGAUCAUUACACAAUACAAUAUGAAGGCUGUCCGCAGCUGGAGUAUUUUAUUACCCUUGUCUUUUGCGCACUUGUUGUUUCCUGGGCGGGUUCGCUCGCCACCAGGACCACCAAAUAAACCUUUUUUAUGCAGUUGCAAUCAGCGUCAGUACAAACAAUGUAAAUCAUUUACAACUUUUAACAACGGAUCUCAGAUCGGAAGAGCACA